Molecule: ribosomal RNA, 774 nt
Filed under: uncultured Neocallimastigales
Lineage: Eukaryota; Fungi; Neocallimastigomycota; Neocallimastigomycetes; Neocallimastigales
Description: partial large subunit ribosomal RNA
Rfam family: Eukaryotic large subunit ribosomal RNA
Source: RNAcentral
UACUAGAGUAGCACUCGCAUAUCAAUAAGCGGAGGAAAAGAAACUAACAAGGAUUCCCCUAGUAACGGCGAGUGAAGCGGGAAGAGCUCAAAUUUGAAAUCUUAAAGGGUUUCCCUUUACGAAUUGUAGUUUAAAGAAGUGUUUUCUGUUGAGGUUUUGGUAAAAGUUCUUUGGAAUAGGACAUCAUAGAGGGUGAGAAUCCCGUAUUUGACCUUUACUUUCAACUUUGUGAUACACUUUCAAAGAGUCGGAUUGUUUGGGAAUGCAGUCCAAAAUGGGUGGUAAAUUUCAUCUAAAGCUAAAUAUUGGCGAGAGACCGAUAGCGAACAAGUACCGUGAGGGAAAGAUGAAAAGAACUUUGAAAAGAGAGUUAAACAGUACGUGAAAUUGUCAAAAGGGAAGCGUUUGACACCAGUGUUGUUUUUCUGAAAAUCAAUUAAAGAACUGUUUAUGCUAAGUUGUUUAGACUUUAUCAGCUAUCUGUUUAGUUUUGAGCUUUUCUUUAAUGCACUUUUCAGUUAACAAGUCAACAUCAAUUUCUUUUGCUGUAAAAAAGCUUGAGGAAGGUGGCUUGAGAUUCGUCUUAAGUGUUUAUAGCCUCUUGCCUAUGCAGUCGGAGAGAUUGAGGUCUGCAGCGUAGAUCCUUCGGGGCUAAACGCAUUUGUGCUAAGUUAUAGCAUUUUAUAGACAACUUGUUGACUAUGAUUUGUCUUGUAGCUUACUCGCUUAUGUUAUUUUACCUACGCUUAGGAUGUUGAUCUACAGAGCGAGAGU